CUCGCUCUGCGAUCAGGCCAGCAUCGGUUUCGGCGGUCGGAUAAAGACCCUGGGAACGUAGCUCCUCUUCGGGGGAGUGUUAUAGCCCUCGGUGCCCUGCGGCCAGCCGGGACCGAGGACCGCGCUUCGGCUAGGAUGCUGGCGUAAUGGUUGUCAGCGACCCGUCUUGAAACACGGACCAAGGAGUUGACAUUGAUGCGAGUGUUUGGGUGUCAAACCCAUGCGCGAAAUGAAAGUGAACGGAGGUGAGAACCCUUAAGGGCGCAUCAUCGACCGAUCCAGAUGUCUUCGGAUGGAUUUGAGUAUGAGCAUUUCUGGUCUGACCCGAAAGAUGGUGAACUAUGCCUGAGUAGGGUGAAGCCAGAGGAAACUCUGGGGAGGCUCGCAGCGGUUCUGACGUGCAAAUCGAUCGUCAAAUUUGGGUAUAGGGCGAAAGACUAUCGACCUCUAUACUGGUCCUGCGAGUUCCUCAGAUGCAGUACGUUUCGUUUUGAGUAAGCGAUGUUAAGGCUUGGGUGAACACCUAACUAUCCAACUUAAGUAGACCUGUACUUAUUGACGGGAUUGAUGCGUACAGGGCCUUUGGAACAAAUGGAUCGGAUACCGACGCAGUAAGCGGAUUCAACCAAAGGUUGAUCCGCGGGCUGAUCGAACUAGGACCCGC
RNAcentral lists this ribosomal RNA (664 nucleotides) under Hypotrachyna penduliloba. RNAcentral's name for it is "eukaryotic LSU rRNA". It matches the Rfam family "Eukaryotic large subunit ribosomal RNA", at positions 479 to 1180 of the family's 3401-position model. The record is from RNAcentral. Lineage: Eukaryota; Fungi; Ascomycota; Lecanoromycetes; Lecanorales; Parmeliaceae.